Molecule: ribosomal RNA, 425 nt
Filed under: uncultured Pantoea sp.
Lineage: Bacteria; Pseudomonadati; Pseudomonadota; Gammaproteobacteria; Enterobacterales; Erwiniaceae
Description: bacterial SSU rRNA
Rfam family: Bacterial small subunit ribosomal RNA
Source: RNAcentral
GUGGGGAAUAUUGCACAAUGGGCGCAAGCCUGAUGCAGCCAUGCCGCGUGUAUGAAGAAGGCCUUCGGGUUGUAAAGUACUUUCAGCGGGGAGGAAGGUGCUGAGGUUAAUAAGCUCAGCAAUUGACGUUACCCGCAGAAGAAGCACCGGCUAACUCCGUGCCAGCAGCCGCGGUAAUACGGAGGGUGCAAGCGUUAAUCGGAAUUACUGGGCGUAAAGCGCACGCAGGCGGUCUGUUAAGUCAGAUGUGAAAUCCCCGGGCUUAACCUGGGAACUGCAUUUGAAACUGGCAGGCUUGAGUCUCGUAGAGGGGGGUAGAAUUCCAGGUGUAGCGGUGAAAUGCGUAGAGAUCUGGAGGAAUACCGGUGGCGAAGGCGGCCCCCUGGACGAAGACUGACGCUCAGGUGCGAAAGCGUGGGGAGCAA